ACGAACGCUGGCGGCAUGCCUAACACAUGCAAGUCGAACGAGACCUUCGGGUCUAGUGGCGCACGGGUGCGUAACGCGUGGGAACCUGCCCUUAGGUUCGGAAUAACUCCCCGAAAGGGGUGCUAAUACCGGAUAAUGUCUUCGGACCAAAGAUUUAUCGCCUUUGGAUGGGCCCGCGUUGGAUUAGCUAGUUGGUAGGGUAAAAGCCUACCAAGGCGACGAUCCAUAGCUGGUCUGAGAGGAUGAUCAGCCACAUUGGGACUGAGACACGGCCCAGACUCCUACGGGAGGCAGCAGUGGGGAAUAUUGGACAAUGGGCGAAAGCCUGAUCCAGCAAUGCCGCGUGAGUGAUGAAGGCCUUAGGGUUGUAAAGCUCUUUUACCCGGGAUGAUAAUGACAGUACCGGGAGAAUAAGCUCCGGCUAACUCCGUG
Molecule: ribosomal RNA, 432 nt
Filed under: uncultured bacterium
Lineage: Bacteria
Description: partial 16S ribosomal RNA
Rfam family: Bacterial small subunit ribosomal RNA
Source: RNAcentral